Gallus gallus (chicken) is the source of this 2326-nucleotide long non-coding RNA. NCBI's taxonomy places the organism in Eukaryota, Metazoa, Chordata, Aves, Galliformes, Phasianidae. The record is from Ensembl.
GUGUGCUCCCAGCAGGGCUCUGUGUGAAGCCCAGCUCUCCUCCUUCCCUCCUGUUCACUGCGGGCUGCACUGAUGCUGCAUGGAGGUCUUCUCUACAGGUACAGAGGCCACUAACACCUGAAUGAGACAUAGAAGUGCUCUGAACAGCAAGCCCAAGCACUGCUAACCCGCUUAUGAGAAGCUGGCUGACACAAUCCAUCCGCUUCCCGAGGCCUGAGAAGAAUAUGAAAUCAGAUUAAUCAGAUGAAGACGACUCAUCUGAAUCCCAUCACAUCAGGGUGAGGCUGUAAGCGGAAGGGUGCUGGGCACUCUGGUGUCCUAAACACCACCUACAAAGCAGAUCUGCAGAAUGGGACAGAAAGGAAUCAAUUAAAUAUAUCUCUGCUGCACUCAACGCAGUUCCAUGGGUGUCUGCAGAAAUUAGGGGUUCCACAUCCUUCCCAAGGGCUCUGCUGCACCACUCCCUUUCUCUCUCAUCGCCAAUAAGGGCUGGGCGUCCCGCCGAGCUCGGGAUGGACAGGUGAUAUUUAAUGACAGUUUUUCAAGUUGCUUUUCCCAGAGCCAUUACAAAACGUACAACCAGCACAAAUCUGACUGUAGGGUGAAUUUGCCACCUUGAAAUCAAAUUCUCAUGGAAAUGAAAUGGCUGACCCCAAAUCCCCCGAAUGCUGGAUGAGCUCGCAUGAUAAACAACUUGUAAUGGCUCUGCUGGCGCUACCGACUCUGUUAAAUGUCACUGCUUCUCUAAAUACCUUCCGGGAGAUGACUGCUCUAUCUGUAUUCUGUAUUUUCCCCUUUUUAAUAUCAGCGUCUGCAAUGUUGCCAUCCUGGAAGCCAUUGUCCAGGGAUUGCAGAGAGCCUCAGACUCAUUUUGCUCUCUGUCACGUCAGUCAUUUCUCAGUAUCCACAUCAGUGUUUAGCUCACAACAACUUUACAGCAAGCUGCCUGCUGCCUGGCAGGCCAGGCUGGCACAGACCCCACUCUGCUCCUCUGGAAGGGCCGUGCACAGCCCCAUGGGGACACAUCUGCUGGUCGCUGCUGCCAAGCCCUUAUGGUCAUCAGCAUCACCACCUGGUCUUGCUUCCCUUUCAAGACCACUUCUUGUUUUAAGUCAGCAGAAUGAUCGCUUCAUGCUUUUAUUACACGGAUCUAUAUUUGGGGUGCUGAAAAUGGUUUGCAUCUAAUUAGCCUACCCCAUCCCCCCCCAAAAAAGGUGCCAAACUCAUCUUGUUAAACCACAUGAGCAACACCAUGCAGAUAGCCCAGCACAGCAGGUGCAUUCUGUCACAUAGCAAACCCUGCAUUGCUGUCUCUAAAUGUCUGAAAGUCUGUAAAACAGCUCUAAAUACAAUUAGGGAGCAGUGGAAGCAAAAUGACUGGGGCAUUUGCAUCCAGCUGCUUGCCUGGAGCAUGGGCUGCUGUGUGCAGAGCUCAAGGAUUCAAGCGUUGGCCACAAUAGCAGUAACACAGAGCUUCACUGCAUUCUGCUUUGGUUUUGAUGGCUUUCCAUGGUGUGAAAUUGGAGCUCAUUACAUUAAUUGUGCUUUCCUGGAUUCUUUCAUGGGGUGCAUGGAUGGCAGGAAAUGACUUACAGAACAAAAAGCAGUAUUGGAGCACAAUAUGCUUCAGCUUCUGCUCCCCAUGCGUUUCCUGUGAGCUUUUGUUUCAGCAUCUAGGAUCCAUUUCUGGGCCAUAGAAGAAAACUGGCUGCCUGGGAAAAGGGAGAGGUCAGAAAUUCCUCACACCUGAACAGACAACAUAUCCCCAGCACUGCCCCAAAGCAGCAGCCAAAGAGCCACCACCACUAACCAUUGGUUACACUGGAUUUCAGCAGCAGCAAAAGGGUUUUAAUUGGGGUGUAAGAGCAGCAUAUGAAGAUCAAGAAACUGAAAGUGCAGCCCCUGCCCACAGCUAUCCCAGCUCCGCUCCCCAAGGCCCUGCUGUUGCUGUGAUGCUGCACGUUUACAUCAUGUCCUUAUCACAGAUAACGCCAUUUAUUCUGUUUCUUUCUCAGUCACCAUCUCCUUCUCCGUGGCUUUUUUUCCUCCUUGCAGUUUUCUCUCUGCUCUCUAUUGUGUGCAUACAAUGGCCCCUCUCUGUUCUCCACAGACUCCAUUGUGCUGUAAUUGCUCUCCUAUCUCUAAGGAAGGGAAGAUUCAUUCUGAUUUGAUCACAUUAUUUUUCUCUGUAUAACUGAUAAAUUUCUCCAUUAAUCCAUCUGUUUGCAGUGGUGUAUCUGGGUGCAGCGUGAAUAAACCUCCUUACAUAACAGCAUGUCCAAUUACAAAUUUCCCUGCAACCCAAUCUCCUCGGUGUUAACACACU